This 640-nucleotide ribosomal RNA is filed under the name uncultured bacterium. Its description in RNAcentral is "bacterial SSU rRNA". It matches the Rfam family "Bacterial small subunit ribosomal RNA", at positions 202 to 842 of the family's 1533-position model. The record is from RNAcentral.
GAAAGAUUCAUCGGAAGAGGAUGGGCAUGCGGCGCAUUAGCUGGACGGCGGGGUAACGGCCCACCGUGGCGACGAUGCGUAGGGGUUCUGAGAGGAAGGUCCCCCACACUGGUACUGAGACACGGACCAGACUCCUACGGGAGGCAGCAGUGAGGAAUAUUGGUCAAUGGGAGAGAUCCUGAACCAGCCAAGCCGCGUGAGGGAAGACGGCCCUAUGGGUUGUAAACCUCUUUUGUCGGAGAACAAAACCCGGGACGAGUCCCGGACUGCGUGUAUCCGAAGAAAAAGCAUCGGCUAACUCCGUGCCAGCAGCCGCGGUAAUACGGAGGAUGCGAGCGUUAUCCGGAUUUAUUGGGUUUAAAGGGUGCGUAGGCGGUCUGUUAAGUCAGCGGUAAAAUUGCGGGGCUCAACCCCGUCGAGCCGUUGAAACUGGCAGACUUGAGUUGGCGAGAAGUACGCGGAAUGCGCGGUGUAGCGGUGAAAUGCAUAGAUAUCGCGCAGAACUCCGAUUGCGAAGGCAGCGUACCGGCGCCAGACUGACGCUGAGGCACGAAAGCGUGGGGAUCGAACAGGAUUAGAUACCCUGGUAGUCCACGCAGUAAACGAUGAAUGCUGGUUGUCCGGGUCGAAUGAGACCUGG